RNAcentral lists this transfer RNA (64 nucleotides) under Cavia porcellus (domestic guinea pig). It matches the Rfam family "tRNA". Rfam says of the family: Transfer RNA (tRNA) molecules are approximately 80 nucleotides in length. Their secondary structure includes four short double-helical elements and three loops (D, anti-codon, and T loops). Lineage: Eukaryota; Metazoa; Chordata; Mammalia; Rodentia; Caviidae. The record is from Rfam by way of RNAcentral.
GGGGAUUUAGCUCAGCGGCAUAAGCACCUGCCUUGCAAGCAGGAGGGAGUGAGUUCAAUCCCCA